UGGGGAAUUUUGGACAAUGGGCGAAAGCCUGAUCCAGCAAUGCCGCGUGUGUGAAGAAGGCCUUCGGGUUGUAAAGCACUUUUGUCCGGAAAGAAAUCCUUGGCUCUAAUACAGUCGGGGGAUGACGGUACCGGAAGAAUAAGCACCGGCUAACUACGUGCCAGCAGCCGCGGUAAUACGUAGGGUGCAAGCGUUAAUCGGAAUUACUGGGCGUAAAGCGUGCGCAGGCGGUUUGCUAAGACCGAUGUGAAAUCCCCGGGCUCAACCUGGGAACUGCAUUGGUGACUGGCAGGCUAGAGUAUGGCAGAGGGGGGUAGAAUUCCACGUGUAGCAGUGAAAUGCGUAGAGAUGUGGAGGAAUACCGAUGGCGAAGGCAGCCCCCUGGGCCAAUACUGACGCUCAUGCACGAAAGCGUGGGGAGCAAACAGGAUUAGAUACCCUGGUAGUCCACGCCCUAAACGAUGCCAACUAGUUGUUGGGGAUUCAUUUCCUUAGUAACGUAGCUAACGCGUGAAGUUGACCGCCUGGGGAGUACGGUCG
This 540-nucleotide ribosomal RNA is filed under the name uncultured bacterium. RNAcentral's name for it is "partial 16S ribosomal RNA". It matches the Rfam family "Bacterial small subunit ribosomal RNA", at positions 355 to 888 of the family's 1533-position model. The record is from RNAcentral.